CCUACGGGUGGCAGCAGUGGGGAAUAUUGCGCAAUGGGCGAAAGCCUGACGCAGCGACGCCGCGUGAGGGAUGAAGGUCUUCGGAUCGUAAACCUCUGUCAGCAGGGAAGAACGGUCACUGUGCUAAUCAGCAGUGAAUUGACGGUACCUUCAAAGGAAGCACCGGCUAACUCCGUGCCAGCAGCCGCGGUAAUACGGAGGGUGCGAGCGUUAAUCGGAAUUACUGGGCGUAAAGCGCUCGUAGGCGGUAUGUCAAGUCAAGGGUGAAAUCCCCGCGCUCAACGUGGGAACUGCCUUUGAAACUGGCAAACUGGAGUGUGUGAGAGGAUAGUGGAAUUCCAGGUGUAGGAGUGAAAUGCGUAGAUAUCUGGAGGAACAUCAGUGGCGAAGGCGACUAUCUGGCACAUAACUGACGCUGAGGAGCGAAAGCGUGGGUAGCAAACAGGAUUAGAUACCCUAGUAGUC
This 465-nucleotide ribosomal RNA is filed under the name uncultured bacterium. Its description in RNAcentral is "partial 16S ribosomal RNA". It matches the Rfam family "Bacterial small subunit ribosomal RNA", at positions 338 to 795 of the family's 1533-position model. The record is from RNAcentral.